GGUUUUCGGAUCGUAAAACUCUGUUGUUAGGGAAGAACAAGUACCGUUCGAAUAGGGCGGUACCUUGACGGUACCUAACCAGAAAGCCACGGCUAACUACGUGCCAGCAGCCGCGGUAAUACGUAGGUGGCAAGCGUUGUCCGGAAUUAUUGGGCGUAAAGCGCGCGCAGGUGGUUUCUUAAGUCUGAUGUGAAAGCCCACGGCUCAACCGUGGAGGGUCAUUGGAAACUGGGAAACUUGAGUGCARAARAGGAAAGUGGAAUUCCACGUGUAGCGGUGAAAUGCGUARAGAUGUGGAGGAACACCAGUGGCGAAGGCGACUUUCUGGUCUGUAACUGACACUGAGGCGCGAAAGCGKGGGGAGCAAACAGGAUUAGAUACCCUGGUAGUCCACGCCGUAAACRAUGAGUGCUAAGUGUUGGAGGGUUUCCGCCCUUCAGUGCUGCAGCUAACGCAUUAAGCACUCCGCCKGGGGAGUACGGUCGCAAGACUGAAACUCAAAGGAAUUGACGGGGGCCCGCACAAGCGGUGGAGCAUGUGGUUUAAUUCGAAGCAACGCGAAGAACCUUACCAGGUCUUGACAUCCUCUGACAACCCUAGAGAUAGGGCGUUCCCCUUCGGGGGACAGAGUGACAGGUGGUGCAUGGUUGUCGUCAGCUCGUGUCGUGAGAUGUUGGGUUAAGUCCCGCAACGAGCGCAACCCUUGAUCUUAGUUGCCAG
RNAcentral lists this ribosomal RNA (720 nucleotides) under uncultured bacterium. Its description in RNAcentral is "bacterial SSU rRNA". It matches the Rfam family "Bacterial small subunit ribosomal RNA", at positions 413 to 1121 of the family's 1533-position model. The record is from RNAcentral.